Molecule: long non-coding RNA, 822 nt
Organism: Daktulosphaira vitifoliae (grape phylloxera)
Lineage: Eukaryota; Metazoa; Arthropoda; Insecta; Hemiptera; Phylloxeridae
Exons: 3
Source: RefSeq, a predicted model, not a curated record
UUUUUUUUUUUUUUACUAGACAUCUAUAUUACAAUAAAUUAUGAAUGCAUAAAGAUUUUAAUGUGAGUAUAAAAAAGUAAUAUUUUACUAGGCUUUUAGUAGAAAAAAUACCAAAUGGAUAAAAUAAAGAAGCUCGUUAUUGUUCAUUAAAAUAACAUAAAGUUUAAACUUCCUAACAAAAUGCAUUUUUGAUAAGGAAAACUUCUCGGGUACAAAAAUUGUUGAUGAACAAUAAAUGAGAAUACAUGUUUACAAAGUGUUACAAAUGUUAAGUGGAUAUUGCACAUAUGUCAAAAAGGGUACAUAUUUUUUUCGUUUCAUGCUAGAUAUACUUUAUAAAAACGUUUACACAAAACUUCAAUCGUUUACUUAUAUAAUGGCGUGCUCAGGAAGUAAAGCUUUGUUGUCAGUGAAAAACUUUACAAAGAAUUUACGAGGACCCUGGAAAUACGUUGCAAAUCAUAUUUGUGCCACCAUAUGGUGGAGACAUUAAGUAUAAAGGUUAAACCUGACAUAUACCUACUAUAAACAAAAGAAACGCAGCAAAAGUGUGACUUAAAAAUUGAAACAAUGCAGACCCCUGUUACUGAAGUAAUAAUUUCAUUUGACAUUUACCAGUUUUUGCAAGCAAAAAAAUGUCAACAACCUCGAAAAACACCCUACCUAUGCUCAUUUUGUUGUAAUAAAUAAAUGUAUUAAUGAAAAGCUCUAUUAUUUGAUUAAAUAAUUUUAUAAAAUAAAAUAUAAAAACAAUAUUAAAAACAGAAAAAUAAUUUCCAGUAAUUGCCUAUGAAUAAUACUUCAAACAAUUUUUUUUUCAAU